UUGUUAGUKGCCAGCAUUCAGUUGGGCACUCUAAUGAGACUGCCGGUGACAAACCGGAGGAAGGUGGGGAUGCGUCCAAAUCAUCAUGCCCCUUAUGACCUGGGCUACACACGUGCUACAAUGGAUGGUACAACGAGCAGCAAGACCGCGAGGUCAAGCGAAUCUCUUAAAGCCAUUCUCAGUUCGGAUUGCAGGCUGCAACUCGCCUGCAUGAAGCCGGAAUCGCUAGUAAUCGCGGAUCAGCACGCCGCGGUGAAUACGUUCCCGGGUCUUGUACACACCGCCCGUCACACCACGAGAGUUUGUAACACCCGAAGUCGGUGAGGUAACCUUUUUGGAGCCAGCCGCCUAAGGUGGGACAGAUGAUUGGGGUGAAGUCGUAACAAGGUAACC
RNAcentral lists this ribosomal RNA (393 nucleotides) under uncultured Trichococcus sp. RNAcentral describes it as "bacterial SSU rRNA". It matches the Rfam family "Bacterial small subunit ribosomal RNA", at positions 1108 to 1501 of the family's 1533-position model. The record is from RNAcentral. Lineage: Bacteria; Bacillati; Bacillota; Bacilli; Lactobacillales; Carnobacteriaceae.